This 468-nucleotide ribosomal RNA is filed under the name uncultured bacterium. RNAcentral's name for it is "partial 16S ribosomal RNA". It matches the Rfam family "Bacterial small subunit ribosomal RNA", at positions 28 to 507 of the family's 1533-position model. The record is from RNAcentral.
GAUGAACGCUGGCGGCGUGCCUAAUACAUGCAAGUCGAACGGACAGACCAUGAUCUUGUGGGGCGCUCGUUUGGCGCACGCGUGAGUAUAACGUGUGUAUAAUGCCCCUGUCUUUGGGGUAACAUCUGGGAACAGCGGAUCAUACAGGGUAGGAGCUCUUGCAGCACGGUGGGGGAUGGUAAGAUUCGGCGGUUGGGGAUGGUCUCGCGGCUUAUCAGCUUCUUGGUGGGGUAGUGGCUUACGAAGGCUUCGAAGGGUAGCCGGCCUGAGAGGGGGACCGGCGACAUUGGGACUGAGAGACGGCCCAGACUGCUACGGGAGGCAGCAGGGGGGAAUAUUGCGCAGUGGGCGGAAGCGUGAUGCAGCAACGCCGCGUGCGUGAUGACGUCUUACGGGUGGUGAACCGCUGUCGCCGGUGACGAAGCGUGAGUGACGGUAAUGAGUAAAGAAGCACCGGCUAACUACGUG